This 613-nucleotide unclassified non-coding RNA is filed under the name Homo sapiens (human). RNAcentral's name for it is "BAG cochaperone 6 (ENSG00000096155.15, ENSG00000229524.10, ENSG00000233348.10)". Lineage: Eukaryota; Metazoa; Chordata; Mammalia; Primates; Hominidae. The record is from RNAcentral.
CUGACACCCAGCGGGAGAAUGCUUCCCCAGCCCCUGGAACAACAGCAGAAGAGGCCAUGUCCCGAGGUCCACCUCCUGCUCCUGAGGGGGGCUCCCGGGAUGAACAGGAUGGAGCUUCAGCUGAGACAGAACCUUGGGCAGCUGCAGUCCCCCCAGAAUGGGUCCCUAUUAUCCAGCAGGACAUUCAGAGCCAGCGGAAGGUGAAACCGCAGCCCCCUCUGAGUGAUGCCUACCUCAGUGGUAUGCCUGCCAAGAGACGCAAGACGAUGCAGGGUGAGGGCCCCCAGCUGCUUCUCUCAGAGGCUGUGAGCCGGGCAGCUAAGGCAGCCGGAGCUCGGCCCCUGACGAGCCCCGAGAGCCUGAGCCGGGACCUGGAGGCACCAGAGGUUCAGGAGAGCUACAGGCAGCAGCUCCGGUCUGAUAUACAAAAACGACUGCAGGAAGACCCCAACUACAGUCCCCAGCGCUUCCCCAAUGCCCAGCGGGCCUUUGCUGAUGAUCCUUAGCUCUUUCUUUGCUCUAUGGCCCUUCCUCAUCAGGGGACCGUUUCCCCCCUCUUCCUUCACAGUAUUUAAGAAAUAAAAGUCGGAUUUUUCUGGCUGCUUUCUCUCUA